This 1922-nucleotide long non-coding RNA is filed under the name Equus caballus (horse). RNAcentral's name for it is "lncRNA (ENSECAG00000030729.2)". Lineage: Eukaryota; Metazoa; Chordata; Mammalia; Perissodactyla; Equidae. The record is from RNAcentral.
CCUAGGCUGCGAAGUCCCUCGGCUUUGUGAUAUAGUGAGAGAUUCCAGUCUUGGAACCCAGAAACAAAAUCCAAAUGAUGUGGCAGUUAGAAUGUAGGUUUAUUGACUAGGAUGCUGAUGGGGUAUUCAUGGGUUUCUAAGGGAUAGAAGCCCUAGAAUGAUGACACCCAGUGCUCCUUUGAUCUGGUAGUUACACACCUUACUGGUCAUAGGUCCACCAACCCAGCAGAAAAGAAAGUACCAAUAAGCUGUUUCCACUCGAUUUCCAGUUACUUCCAUAUGGAAGUUGACUACGUGAAAAUAGACAUAAAUUCCAGUGGUGAGUGCUCAGGACUUAUCUCGCUGGACCUAGCAGCACUUGAUAAGGCUUCUGCCUUCGUCUUCUUGUAAUGUUUCCUACCACCCUGUUUGGAAGCUUGGACAAAACUACUGAAUGAUAAAAGACGCCUUGGAGAGAGAGGCCCAGCUAAUAUCCAGCAUUAAGUCCCUAGAUAUGUGAAGGAGGCCAUCUUAAAACCUCCAACCCCAGACCAACUGCGAGAUAACUGAUGCCUCAUGGGAAAGCCCAGGGAGAUUGCAACAGAUAAAAUCACAACCAAAAUACAGAAGACAGUAAGAUGAGUGAAGUCAAAUCAUGACUUCAUGUUCCAUAUUGGAGAAGUUAUUCUGGUGACUUUUGCACAGACGGCUUAAGCAUUGAUCUCCAGGCAAAGAAUAAAGUAGGAGCAGAAGAUCUGAGUCCAAUGGGAGUAAAACAUAAGGAAUUUUGGGCAGUGCUGAAGAAAGUAGCUUUGAUAUCUUAAGAUUUCCUGGGCCACAGACCAGAGGCAAAUGUUAGACCACCACAGUAACAAAAGUGUGGUGUAGUGGAAAUAACCUAGAUUUCCUGGAAGCCAAGGGUCAAAUAUAUUAAUUCUAAAUUUGCUAGCAACCUGUUCCUUAGCUUCAGCAAAGUUGUUUAUCCUCUCUGUACCUUGAUCUCCUUAACUCCAAAAGAAGAGGAUUUUACAGUCAGUAGCAAAUUUUCGUUCAAGUCCUGGCAAAACAACCUUCUACAAGGCUUGCUUCAUUGAUAGCAGUAACCACCAUUUUGGGCACAAGUAGCUCCAGUGCCCAUUCUUGUACAUCUUUUUGUAAUUCUGAAUAGUGUCAUGGGCUCCUUCUACCCAUCUCAAGAAGAGUCAACUAGUGGAGAAACCUCUAGGAUGAUCCGAUUGAGAUUUUUUGCCAACUUUAUUAUUUCCCAGUAAUUCUAAUUUAAACUAAACCUUGUUAGUAAUUUGAGAUUAAGGUUAGGAAAGAGAGGAGUACAAAUCUUUAUCUGAGUGACUCCAAAUAAUGAUCUACUUUAAAAAAUACUUCGGAGUUGUCAGCCUUGCUUGAAUUGGUGGUAAGUCCAUAGUAUUUAUACUUUGUUUCCUAUUGUGUAGCCAGCACAAGGAUCAACAGACCUGAGCAGGGAAGAGAGUCAACUGGUCACUAGAUGAUCUCUAAGGAACCUCUGAUUUCUUCUAUUUUAGUGGAGAGUGUGAGCGGAAGUGAGUGCUCUGUGUGAAAGAAAAUCAUGGGAUUCAGGACACUACAAAGGCACACUGGGCUUCAGUUGCUGAUCGCUAUUGAUAAGCUGCUUUCCUUUUGCAGAAGUGAGUUAAGCGGACAGCUUCACCCUGUCUUCACUGGGAAGAUCAGAUUUAAACUAUUAUUCUGCCCUUGUUUAAAAGGGAAGAUAUUUGGUAGAGACACAUACAAAGUAUGGCACCUAGAGACCUCAAGUUUUCAGUGUAGACAGAAGAUGGAAGACUGCUAGGAAGCAGUGCCACCAAUGAAUGCAUAACCCUCUUCUCCAACUUAUUACCAAUACUAGGAAUUAUCUAAAUUUUAAUCUUUGCUAAUUUGAUAUUUAAAAAUAUGAUCCAUUUUUU